RNAcentral lists this ribosomal RNA (253 nucleotides) under uncultured bacterium. Its description in RNAcentral is "partial 16S ribosomal RNA". It matches the Rfam family "Bacterial small subunit ribosomal RNA", at positions 524 to 776 of the family's 1533-position model. The record is from RNAcentral.
UACGUAGGGGGCAAGCGUUGUCCGGAAUCAUUGGGCGUAAAGAGCGCGUAGGCGGCCCGGUAAGUCCGCUGUAAAAGUCAAAGGCUCAACCUUUGAAUGUCAGUGGAUACUGCCGGGCUAGAGUCCGGAAGAGGCGAGUGGAAUUCCUGGUGUAGCGGUGGAAUGCGCAGAUAUCAGGAGGAACACCAACGGCGAAGGCAGCUCGCUGGGACGGUACUGACGCUGAGGCGCGAAAGCGUGGGGAGCGAACAGG